AUUUGAAAGGCAUUUGGGGUUGGGGUGGGGCGGAGUCGGGCACAGGACAGAGCUACAAAGAAUCUGAAAACCAUGAACAAGCAGGAAGUGAAAGUCAAGUCCUUAUCUUUGCUAUAAGCCAUGCAAGCAGGCGAGCACCAGGUCUACUGAGCAAAUGAGAAGCAACAAGCGUGUCCUUCCAGGAGCUCCCGCCAUACGCUGAGCCGCAGACAUCUGGGUGGCGCGGGUGUGUGCUCACAGGCUGAAAGAUGUCCUCGGUGAAGUGAGAUUUCAACGGCUGAUAGAAGGAAAGGCUGAGUGGGGCAGCCAAGGCUGUUCAUCUACAAUGUCUCAGUUUCUACUCCUAAGAAAAUACCAAUCUCAUAGAGUGUUGGUGGGAAUCCAACGAGAUAAUCCUUGUGAAAAGGGGUUCAUCACAAUGGCUCAGAGAGGGGAGCUGCGGCGGGACAACUGCUACAGGAAUGGAGCUGGAUCACCAGGCUGCAGCCUCUCCUCCUUCACUGUCCUUAGUAAAACCACACCAAACCCACCAAGGAGGCAGGCAAGGCUGCCGGGAGCAACAGGCAGAGACAACCAUGCACCUCGUCCAGAGCUGCCAGGCUGCUGUGUGAAGAAUGGAUCAAAGAGAUCAAGAUGGAAGCAGGCUCAGCUGGUGGGUGACUACAAGGUCCAGGCUUGAGAUUAAUAUGGCCCCCACCACGGUUGUGACACUGGAGACAGAUUUGGGGUAUAUUUUGGAGAAAGAGUGAAACUGGAUAGGCUGAUGAAUUGAAUGUAGAAAGUGAAAAAGGAAUUAAGAUGACACCUAGGUUUGGAGGCUGAAGCAAGUAUAGGAAUUGGGGUGCCAAUCGCCCAGAUGGGGAUGACUGGCGCAGGAAGAUGACAACAUGUAAAGUUUUGAGUACCUACUGGCUAUUAAACAGGACCUGUCACGUGAUUGGAAACACGAAUCUGCAGCCCAGCGGUGUUGGAGAGGUAAAUUCGGACAUGAGGGGACUGGAUGAGCUCACCCUGGGCUGGUAGGGGCUGGGAACUCCUGCAGGAUCCAGACAGAAGGGGGUUGUGACAGGGAAAGCCAUGGCCUGAGGACAGGGCCCAUGGAAGUGAGGCUAAAGGCUGAGGGAGCUGAGGGUUUAGUUGGUGGUAGAGAUAAAAGGCAGACCUGAAGCAUUCAGAUGCUCCAGGCUUGGAGACGGGAGGCACCGCCUGCAGCCGCACUCUGUUGUAGCCGGCAGGACCAAGCUUCCUGGUGAGUAAUCAGAUCUAACGCCAGCCUGGCGCCCACAGCAGUGCCUUGCCCUCUCCCACCUGCCAGUAAGCACCUGAGCUGGAUAACAGCUGGUUCACAUUUCCAACCAGUUCAUUUCCCUGAUGUCAAAGAUGUAGCUCUUGGGGGCUGGGCAUUCAGUGGAGCGACCAAAGGCAAGACUGGCCUGGGCAGGGGAUUAGAGAACCUUUGGGAUUCCAGAGCCGGUCAUCAUCUUAGACAAUAGUGGGGCAGUGGGAGGGAGCAGAGAUGGAAGGAGGAGGAAGGACACACUGGUAGCACGAGGCUCUGGUGAUAGCUGUGUUGUGCCCGCUAAAUAAAUCAGGAAGGGGUGAUCCUGUAGCCUGAGGCAGUGUGGUGUGGCAGUUCACGCACAGGCUCUGAAACCUGACCCCUUGCCAUUCAGAUUUUAGCUCUGCCCUCACUCCCUGCCUGGAUCAGCCUCUCCAUCUGCAGAAGAGCCCCGAGCACAGUGUCCUCAUGGUUGGUAAGAACUCCAUUUAACUUCUAGCUCUGAAUUCAGUGAUGAUUUCCAAGCGUCAGGUCACGCCUGCACGGAUGACAGAGAGGUGGCUGUGGCUGGAAUAAGGCUGUGGAGGGGGCAACAAUAUAACAAACAGAUCUGGGCAGCGCUCAGAACCGGUCAAAGGAACUCUGAGUUCAGUAGGAUUCUGUGCAAUCACUGCUUAUCGUAAUGAUAUUCUCGAUCCCAUAUGCUGCAUAUGUUUCACACUUUUCAUCUUAUGUAUUUGUCUCCCGCAGCUGCUGUGACAAAUUACCACCAACUGAAUGGCUUAAAACAACAGACAUUGAUUCUCUCACAGUUCAGGAGGCCUGAAAUCUGAAAAUCAAGGUGUCUUCCGGGUUGGUUCCUUCUGAGGGCCUUGAGGAAGACUACAUCCCAUUGCUCUCUCCUGGCUCCUAGUGGCUUCCCUUGGUGCUGGGCAUCCUUUGGCUUGUCGAUGUGCCUCUUCAGUCUCUGCUUCCACCUUCACAUGGCCUUUUCCUCUGUGUCUCUCUGUGCCCUCUCCUCUCCUUAUAAGGACACUGGUCACUGGGUUUAGCGCCCACCUUAAACGCAGGAUCGUUCCAUCUCAAGAUCCUUAAUCAAUUAUAUCUGCAAAUACUGGUUUUUCACAAAAGUUUUUUAUUUUUAAUUUUUUUGAGGGGGAGGUAAUUAAGUUUACUUAUUAAUUUUUUAAAAAAUGGAGAUACUGGGGACUAAACCCUGGACUUUGUGUUUGCUAAGCAUGCGUUCUACCACUGAGCUAUGCCCUACCCCCCUUGCAAGUACUCUUUUGAAAUAAAAUCACAUUCUGAGGCUCUCUGUAAACAUGGAUUUUGAGGAAACACUAUUCAGUCCACUACAACUGGCCCUCACAAUCUCCCUUGGAGCAAGAGGGACAGGUACGAUUGUUCCCUUUCUAUGAAUUGGGAACACGGUCUAGAGAGAAGGGACCCAGCCUAUGGUCAUGUAACUAGUGGGUAGGAAUAGAUCCCAGAUUUAAGUUCCUGCCCCAGUGCUCCUUCCCCACCCAAGUUUUAUUCUCUUUAGAUAAGCGCCUUGUGUGUAUAUGUGUGAGAGACAGACAGUGAGGGCAAGAAGGAGCUUUCGUCUUGUCCGUCCAGCUCUCCUCCCCCAUCUGGCAAAUUGACUUUGGCCUUUUCUUACCAUGUGAUUCCAUGGAGACAAUCACUCGGCAGGACACGCCACCCCACCCCCAGCACAGGGGUUCACCAGGGGCCCAACCUGACCCAACCUGAACACCACAGCACCGCCGCUGACUGCCCUUGACUGACUGAUCCAGAGAUGAGCCAAUGUAUUGUGAUCCAAACCGAGCAAAACAGAGCCUCUUCUUAGCUACUUAGAUCCUCAAGGCCUGAGAGCACAGGUCUCAUUUUAUUAGACUGGUUAAGCUGGGAAAGGAAGCCUGGAGCUGCUGGUGACCACGAGGGAUGAUCCAGACACAAAGUGUGCAGAUGAGACAGGAUGGAAGGGGGCAGGGCACAGCCAUUCAAGGAAUGCUACAGCAAUUAACAUCAAAAUGGUGAAAGAUUCGACCCCCAGUAGACCUUGAGGCUCAAGAUGGUGGGAGAUUUGACUUCUAGCAGAUCUUGAGCCUCAUUAUACCCUCACUGUAAUAUAUUAACAUGGUGAAUAAUAUGUCCACAGGCACCAUGGCAGUCCCAAGGCUAGCCACGAAAGGUCAAAGAGUGGGAAAUGGCCAACUUCCUGGGAAUCCCAGCCCCUUCCCCUUAGACUGGUCCUUCCACUUAUUAGCAUAUGAAGCCACCAAGCCCAUAAAAACCAGCAACAUGGCGCCUCGUGUCUGGCCCUCUCUCUCCCUCUUCAGAGACGGCCCGCAUACUGUCCAUGGGAUGUGUACCCACGUUUAAUCUGAGCGCACAACCCCGACACCUUGUGGCCUUUCUCUUGCCUUUCAAUGUAUCUCUCUGAAUAAAUCUAC
Molecule: long non-coding RNA, 3735 nt
Organism: Camelus dromedarius (Arabian camel)
Lineage: Eukaryota; Metazoa; Chordata; Mammalia; Artiodactyla; Camelidae
Exons: 4
Source: RefSeq, a predicted model, not a curated record